Molecule: unclassified non-coding RNA, 330 nt
Filed under: soil metagenome
Description: partial contains 5.8S ribosomal RNA, internal transcribed spacer 2, and large subunit ribosomal RNA
Rfam family: 5.8S ribosomal RNA (bases 1-120)
Source: RNAcentral
GAUGAAGAACGUAGUGAAAUGCGAUAAGUAAUGUGAAUUGCAGAAUUCAGUGAAUCAUCGAAUCUUUGUACGCACAUUGCGCCCCUUGGUAUUCCGAGGGGCAUGCCUGUUCGAGCGUCAUUUCAACCCUCAAGCACAGCUUGGUCUUGGGCUUCGCCGCUAACCCGGCGGGUCUUAAAAUCAGUGGCGGUGCCGUCGGGCCCUGAGCGCAGUAAUCUCUCUCGCUAUAGGGUCCCGGCGGAUGCUGGCCAGUAACCCCCAAUUUUCUAUGGUUGACCUCGGAUCAGGUAGGGAUACCCGCUGAACUUAAGCAUAUCAAUAAGCGGAGGA